This 802-nucleotide long non-coding RNA is filed under the name Homo sapiens (human). RNAcentral describes it as "HSALNT0080372". The record is from RNAcentral. Lineage: Eukaryota; Metazoa; Chordata; Mammalia; Primates; Hominidae.
AGGCAUGGAGCGGCGAGAGAGGGGCAGGGACUUUAGAAGACUCCUGAGGAGCCAAAGCUACAUGGCAGAAGUAAUAAUAACUAUAGUUAUACCUUAGAAAACACCUAUUGGGUGCUAACACUUGGUGGGGCUCUACACACUUUUUUUUUUUUUUUUUUUUUGGAGAUGGAAUUUCACUCUUGUUGCCCAGACUGGAGUGCAAUGGCGUUAGCUUGGCUCACUGCAACCUCUGCCUCCUGGGUUCAAGCGAUUCUCCUGCCUCAGCCUCCCAAGUAGCUGGGAUUACAGGCAUGCGCAACCAUGCCCAGCUAAUUUUGUAUUUUUUGUAGAGAUGGGAUUUCACUACAUGUCGGCCAGGCUGGUCUCAAACUCCUGACCUCAGGUGAUCCACCCACCUCGGCCUCCCAAAGUGCUGGGAUUAUAGGAGUGAGCCACCGCACCCGACCUCUACACACUUUACAAACUGUUCAUAUCCCAGUUUAAAGAGGAGAAAACUGGGCCUUGAUGAGGUUAGCAGCCCAAAGCCACAGAGUCAGCAGCAGAGCCCAGAACUGCUCAGUUGGCCACCAGGGCCAUGUAGAGCCCAGGCAACAGCAGUAGCGUCAGAUUCUGCCCACUCUCAACAAUCCUGAAAGAACAGCCCCAGGCCUGCAGAGCUGUUAGGUGACCAGAGCAACACACUGGCUUGUCUCUAAGUGUGCCUCCUCAGACACAUGCCCUUCAACAACCAAGUGUAGGCUGUCUGGCCCUGCUUGGUGUGACUGUAAUUUGAGGCGUCACCAAAAUUACAAUCUAACACCAC